AGGACGAACGCUGGCGGCGUGCUUAACACAUGCAAGUCGAGCGGAAAGGCCCUUCGGGGUACUCGAGCGGCGAACGGGUGAGUAACACGUGAGUAAUCUGCCUUCAGCUCUGGGAUAGCUCCGGGAAACCGGGAUUAAUACCGGAUAUGACCACUUCGGACAUCUGUUGUGGUGGAAAGUUUUUCGGCUGGAGAUGAGCUCGCGGCCUAUCAGCUUGUUGGUGGGGUAAAGGCCUACCAAGGCGACGACGGGUAGCCGGCCUGAGAGGGCGACCGGCCACACUGGGACUGAGACACGGCCCAGACUCCUACGGGAGGCAGCAGUGGGGAAUAUUGCGCAAUGGGCGGAAGCCUGACGCAGCGACGCCGCGUGGGGGAUGAAGGCCUUCGGGUUGUAACCCCUUUCAGCAGGGACGAAGCGCAAGUGACGGUACCUGCAGAAGAAGCGCCGGCUAACUACGUGCCAGCAGCCGC
RNAcentral lists this ribosomal RNA (473 nucleotides) under uncultured bacterium. RNAcentral describes it as "SSU rRNA". It matches the Rfam family "Bacterial small subunit ribosomal RNA", at positions 26 to 518 of the family's 1533-position model. The record is from RNAcentral.